Molecule: ribosomal RNA, 429 nt
Filed under: Chloroflexota bacterium
Lineage: Bacteria; Bacillati; Chloroflexota
Description: Chloroflexi bacterium partial 16S ribosomal RNA
Rfam family: Bacterial small subunit ribosomal RNA
Source: RNAcentral
UGGGGAAUAUUGCACAAUGGGCGCAAGCCUGAUGCAGCCAUGCCGCGUGUAUGAAGAAGGCCUUCGGGUUGUAAAGUACUUUCAGCGGGGAGGAAGGGAGUAAAGUUAAUACCUUUGCUCAUUGACGUUACCCGCAGAAGAAGCACCGGCUAACUCCGUGCCAGCAGCCGCGGUAAUACGGAGGGUGCAAGCGUUAAUCGGAAUUACUGGGCGUAAAGCGCACGCAGGCGGUUGAUUGAGUCAGAUGUGAAAUCCCCGGGCUUAACCCGGGAAUUGCAUCUGAUACUGGUCAGCUAGAGUCUUGUAGAGGGGGGUAGAAUUCCAUGUGUAGCGGUGAAAUGCGUAGAGAUGUGGAGGAGUACCGGUGGCGAAGGCGGCCCCCUGGACAAAGACUGACGCUCAGGUGCGAAAGCGUGGGGGGCAAACAGG